CGAACCGUAUAAUAAUAAUGGUAUCGCAGCUCGCUCGGCACAGCGUUCGCCGGUGUCAAUUUGUUUCCACGGCGGUUUUGGCUCGGUUCCUAAUAACUCCCCGUAUACAUGUCCGCCCGUAAUGACUACGCCGUCGUACCUACACGCGCGGAAACCGAAUGCGACGGCGACGGGGACGGCGGAAUAUUAUUACGGCGGGAGCCCGGCCAAAUGAAAUAAUAACGCGACGGCGUUCGCGAGGUCCGAUCGGAGAACAAAACGAAAAAAAAAAAAACGAAAAUUAUUAUCCGCGGCGUUUUUUUUCUCCAAAGGUCGUUAUUGCGCCGAUGCAAGUUAAUUUCCGCCUCCCC
Non-coding RNA from Cinara cedri, 350 nucleotides. NCBI's taxonomy places the organism in Eukaryota, Metazoa, Arthropoda, Insecta, Hemiptera, Aphididae. The record is from the annotation of a GenBank genome assembly.